RNAcentral lists this ribosomal RNA (476 nucleotides) under uncultured bacterium. Its description in RNAcentral is "SSU rRNA". It matches the Rfam family "Bacterial small subunit ribosomal RNA", at positions 26 to 521 of the family's 1533-position model. The record is from RNAcentral.
AGGAUGAACGCUGGCGGCGUGCCUAACACAUGCAAGUCGAACGUCCUGUCUCGCAAGAGGCAGGGAGUGGCGGACGGGUGAGUACCACGUGGGUCAUCUACCGUGAGGUGAGGAAUACCGGCGAGAAAUCGCCGACAAGACCGCAUAGGCUCGAUGCAAGUCGAGCAAAGCUCUUUCGAGAGAGGGAGCGCCACACGAGGAGCCUGCGCCCGAUUAGCUAGCUGGUGGAGUAACGGUUCACCAGGGCGACGAUCGGUAGCUGGUCUGAGAGGACGAUCAGCCACACUGGGAUUGAGAACGGCCCAGACUCCUACGGGGGGCAGCAGUGAGGAAUUUUCGUCAAUGGGGGCAACCCUGAACGAGCAACGCCGCGUGCAGGAAGAAGGUUUCGGAUCGUAAACUGCUUUUCUCGGGGAAGAGAAUGGACGGUACCCGAGGAAUCGAGCCCCGGCUAACUACGCGCCAGCAGCCGCGGU